RNAcentral lists this ribosomal RNA (459 nucleotides) under uncultured bacterium. Its description in RNAcentral is "partial 16S ribosomal RNA". It matches the Rfam family "Bacterial small subunit ribosomal RNA", at positions 338 to 795 of the family's 1533-position model. The record is from RNAcentral.
CCUACGGGUGACAGCAGUGAGGAAUAUUGGUCAAUGGCCGAGAGGCUGAACCAGCCAAGUCGCGUGCGGGAUGACGGCCCUCCGGGUUGUAAACCUCUUUUGUCGGGGAGCAAAGAGAGUCACGUGUGGCUCAUUGAGAGUAUCCGAAGAAAAAGCAUAGGCAAACCCCGUGUCAGCAGCCGCGGUAAUACGGAGGAGGCGCGGGUUAUCCGGAUUUAUGGGGUUUAAAGGGUGGGCAGGCGGAGGUGCAAGUGAGUGGUAAGAUUGUGGGGCUCAACCCCGUACUGCCGUUGAAACUGCAUGCCUUGAGUGCGCGAGAGGUAUGCGGAAUGCGUGGUGUAGCGGUGAAAUGCAUAGAUAUCACGCAGAACUCCGAUUGCGAAGGCAGCAUACCGGCGCGCAACUGACGCUCAUGCACGAAAGCGUGGGUAUCGAACAGGAUUAGAUACCCUAGUAGUC